This is a long non-coding RNA of Frieseomelitta varia, 191 nucleotides long. RefSeq lists it as uncharacterized. Lineage: Eukaryota; Metazoa; Arthropoda; Insecta; Hymenoptera; Apidae. The record is from RefSeq and is a predicted model, not a curated record. The transcript has 2 exons.
AUUCUCUUGGCAUAUACACGCACACAAGCACUAUAUUAAACCUUGAACCAUUUACAUAUAUUUCAUCGAAAUGUGAAGUAAAUUCGGCAAAACGACUUGUUUCGCCUCGAGUAAUUUAAAACCAUAAUAGGAAGUUUCCUGUUCACACAAACAUAAGAUAAUCUAAAUGCCCUGUAACGAUGCGGGUAAGA